This 21-nucleotide non-coding RNA is filed under the name Caenorhabditis elegans. The record is from RNAcentral. Lineage: Eukaryota; Metazoa; Nematoda; Chromadorea; Rhabditida; Rhabditidae.
UUUUUUUUCAAGCGGAGUGUC